CAUGUCCAACAAGUCGCCCACGAGGCGUCAGUGUGGCAUUGCUAGCUCCAGCUUCCCCUACAACCGUCUCUGCCGCCGGCACUUGCACGCAAUCGUGCUGGUUUCUGUAGUUCAAGAUCAAAGGCAAGAAUCAGCCAAAUAUGAUGAUGAGAACAAGGCUAAUGAUGGAGAACCUUCAUCUAUCGAAGCUGAGCAGUCUAUUGGGAAUACUAAGUUUCAAUGCGCAUCCUAAGUUUCAGUUACCUGAAAUCAAGGCCAGUUUCAGUCGAUGCCGAAGUAAACUACCACAUACGUGAUGACCUUGAGAAAAUCCAUGCACUUCAAUUGGACAGGAGUUUUCUGCCACGUAAUCGAUGAUGCACUUCACGUGACAGAAUUGUAAGAUCAGUACUUCUAUCUACUCUAUUCAUCACAUCUACACUUCUGUUUAUUCAUUCUAUGAGCUCUCUAUUUAAGAGAAACAACAGAGACUACUAUUUAAGAAUAGUAGCCUUUUCAAUUAAAUGCUGAAGUAUGUGUUUUCUGCAUGCACCCACAAGUUAUUCAAGAAAAACUA
Non-coding RNA from Triticum urartu, 556 nucleotides. The record is from RefSeq and is a predicted model, not a curated record. Lineage: Eukaryota; Viridiplantae; Streptophyta; Magnoliopsida; Poales; Poaceae.